Bos taurus (domestic cattle) is the source of this 1074-nucleotide long non-coding RNA. The record is from Ensembl. NCBI's taxonomy places the organism in Eukaryota, Metazoa, Chordata, Mammalia, Artiodactyla, Bovidae.
CCUGGGGCCGCUCUAAGCGGAGGGGAGUGAAAGGGGGAGGGGAGGAGGAGUGGGAGAUGGAACAGAGAAAAAGGGAGGAUUAAUUCGCUACUCGGAUACCAGGGCCAAGGACUGAAGCGUCUUCCUGCUUAUCCCCUCCCCUCCUCCAUCAGGCGUCAUCCAAGGGAGUUGCCUUGGGACAUCCAAGGUGGGGGAGGGGGUGCGGGGACGCUGAGGGCCCGGGAGUGGGAAGCGCAAGGGUGUUUGAGGAGCAAGGAUGUGCGAGGCUCCUUACAGACCCCAGUGGGCUGCGUUCUGGAAGACACCCCAUGGCUGACCCUCUCCAGGUCCCGCCUGAGCCCCUGCAAGGGUUCUGCCAGCGCCGGCUCAACAGCGGCACCUGCUGUCCGGGGCCCUCCCUGCGGGGCGGAGCUCCCCCUCCGCCCUGGGAGCCCAGCGGGAUUUCCUCCUCUGUGGACCACAUAGGAAAGAUACUUCCUGCCAAGCAAACCAAAUGUAUUAGGCUGUGAGCAGCCUGAGGACAGAGACUCUUCUCAUCAGCCUCAGAACCUUCAGGAGUGAGCACAGUCCCGAGCACAGAGCUAGUGCUAAGUAAAGGCUUGUUAAAUGGAAAGAGAGCCACUGAAGACAUCGGGGACUAUAUUCUUUAAAUAGAGAGACAGAGUGAAAGAAAGAGAGGAAGGAAGGAAGAAGAAAAGAAAAAGAGAGGUCCUAGGUAAUCUCAAGGGCAAGGACCCAAGGGCAAGACUGUGGUUUGCUCUGGCUGGAGCGGAGGGCAGUGGGCACACAGUGUCACCUUCUUAACACGCCCAAGGAGCAUCUUGUUUUGUCUGACCUUAUGGGUCCCUGGCUGGGACAUGAAAUAAGUGAUCACAUCUCUCACCCACCAGAGGUGCUUGUGACCUUGGCAGAAGAGAGGUUUAAAUCGAGUCAGCCUGGGGGAAGGGGCUGGUUCAUUCCAGGGCCUUCCUUCAGAUUAGAUAAAUUUUCCAGCUCCUGCUUAAACUUCAGUGGUUCUGAAUCUGAGAAGGAGGGCAGAAGGAAGAGGAAGCUAUAGGGGAGGGGACAUAUAUG